This 2065-nucleotide long non-coding RNA is filed under the name Medicago truncatula (barrel medic). RNAcentral's name for it is "lncRNA gene49330". The record is from RNAcentral. Lineage: Eukaryota; Viridiplantae; Streptophyta; Magnoliopsida; Fabales; Fabaceae.
UGUACUUCUUCUUUUCAUAUACUCUGAUUUUAUUACAGCAUUCUAUUCUAGGAAUUCAGAAAAUAUUGAUUGACCCUGAGAGGCCAGAUCACACCCAAUAGAAAGUUGCCAAACCUUUAUUUCACCAUCUAAUGAACCACUAAAAACAGAAACGACACCGUUAGGAGAACUUUGACUUUCAUCAUCAUCAUUAUACUCUUGAAUUGCCGCUAACGACUUAACCGGUUUCCGGUGACCAUCAAGAACACCAACACAACAAAACGAACCAUCAUAAACCCGUUUCCAAAUCCUAACCGUCCGAUCAGCAGAACCACUCAGCAACAAAUCAGAAACGUUGAUCAAACAAAGUAUCGCUUUCUGAUGCCCCCUCAAAGCCCCACUCACAACCAUAUGAUUCGCACUAUCCUCUCGUUCCCAUACUAAUAUUGAACGAUCGCAUGCACCUGAAAAUAGCACCGAACCGUCGUCGUUUAGGGCUAAAGCAUUAACCGCUGAUUUAUGCUUCUCCAAAGUUGCAACUAGAACGUGCUUUUUUUCACCGACGGGUUUCGCCCAAACGCGGAUUCGUUUAUCGGAUGAUCCUGUGUACACUGUUCCAUCGUUAGAAACUGCAACCGCGUUGACCGCAUCUUCGUGUGCUUUGAGGGAUUCUAAGCAACGAAGAUCAGAGAUUCUCCAUAUUUUGAGUGUUUUGUCCCAUGAAACGGAGUAGAUAACGCCGUUUGAAACUGCAAGGUCGGUGACGGCGUCGGCAUGUUCAAUCCAGAGACGUUUUACGUGGCGACGGAUGUUGAUGUAGUUACUUGGGAGGAGGAAACGGCGGAAACGGUCGUUGACAGUGGGAAGAGUGGUUAACUUCCGGUGGUUGUUGUUGUUUUUGUGGUGGUGGUGGUUCCAGACGCGGAUUUUACAGUCUUGGUGAGUGGUGAAGACCAUGUCUUUAGAGAAGGCAAUGGUUUUAGUUGAACCGGAGGAAAUGGAUUUGGUGUUGAAGGUAUGGAGAUAAGUGCACGUUUGACGAUCGUAGACGUUGAUUUGAUUUUCCGUAGCUGCGUAGAGGAGGUUGUUGUGGAGGGCAAGCGAUGUGAUAGGGCGGGAAGAGUGGGGUGUGAGAGAGGUGAUGCAGUGGUAGGAGACGGAGAAGUUGUUGAGGUUUUGAGAAGAGAGUUUUUGGAGAGAUGGAACUGAUGGAAGUGUUUGUAUUGAGUAGUUGCUAUAAAGAGUUGAGGUGCUGUCGUCGGAGGUUAGGGUUGAAGAAGAAGAAGUGCUUGAGUCUGAUGCAUGUUGUUGUUUCUUGGAUGGAUGCAGUGAGAUGGUUGAGUUGUGGGUGGCCGUGGCGCAGUUGUUGGCGGAGGAGCAUGUGUCUAACAACCACCGUAACCUCAUGAUAAAUUAGUUGAUAGAUAGAGAUAGUUUGAAUAUGGAAACUAUGUUGUGAAGGAUAGAAAGUAACGCAGAAAAUAUAGAUGAAAUUAUGAUAGUGAAAUGAGAUGAUGAGGAAAGCUUAGGGUAAUGGUGUGAAGCUAAGAAAGGGGACAAAAAAGGAGCGAUGGGUCCAAGGUUAAUUAUUUUCUUAAUAAGACGGGUUGGGGUAUCUUUCUUUUUGUUAUUUUUUUCCUCUUAGAGACAGAGAUGGAGUGAGCAUUUAGUGAGGUUGCCGGAGGAUAUAUGAUCAAUUAAAAGCCAACUUGACAGAUGGGAAAAGGUUAUUAUUGGAUAAUUCGAUAUUGCUGUUGAGGUAUCGUCCACUAGAAUUGUAUCUCGUUUAUAAUGAGUAGAACUGUACUACUGUUCGAAGAUCGGUAUUAUUUGGUGCAGUUAAACGUCAUAAAUUUAAGAAAAAAAUGUUAUUUGGACGCUUAUACAUAUAUACAUUGAGAGAGAAAAAUAAUGAGUGAUAUAUACCAAAACGUAUCAUGUUGACAAUAAAAGAAAGAGAGUAGAGACGAGAGAGAAAUUUUUUUUUAAAAAGUGUUGAAACGUUAAAGAUGUUCAAAUCAUUGCUUUGAUUUUUAAUGUUAUACACUCAAUGUCAAGUACUAAAACGUAUUUGCAAAUAUAUUUA